GAUGAACGCUGGCGGCGUGCCUAAUACAUGCAAGUCGAGCGAACAGACGAGGAGCUUGCUCCUCUGACGUUAGCGGCGGACGGGUGAGUAACACGUGGAUAACCUACCUAUAAGACUGGGAUAACUUCGGGAAACCGGAGCUAAUACCGGAUAACAUGUUGAACCGCAUGGUUCAACAGUGAAAGACGGUCUUGCUGUCACUUAUAGAUGGAUCCGCGCCGCAUUAGCUAGUUGGCAAGGUAACGGCUUACCAAGGCAACGAUGCGUAGCCGACCUGAGAGGGUGAUCGGCCACACUGGAACUGAGACACGGUCCAGACUCCUACGGGAGGCAGCAGUAGGGAAUCUUCCGCAAUGGGCGAAAGCCUGACGGAGCAACGCCGCGUGAGUGAAGAAGGUCUUCGGAUCGUAAAACUCUGUUAUUAGGGAAGAACAAAUGUGUAAGUAACUAUGCACGUCUUGACGGUACCUAAUCAGAAAGCCACGGCUAACUACGUG
Molecule: ribosomal RNA, 497 nt
Filed under: uncultured bacterium
Lineage: Bacteria
Description: partial 16S ribosomal RNA
Rfam family: Bacterial small subunit ribosomal RNA
Source: RNAcentral